GUUGUUUUCAUUCUCAAUGGCGUUGUGAACAAAGUGCAUAUCAACCCAAACAUAAUAGGGAAUCGGGGCGCUGCUUGUCAGUCAGCCCGAACUGUACCCGCAACUGUGAGUAGUAAAAGAAGAACCUAGAACCUAGAACCUAGAACCUAGAACCUUCUUUCCCUACAAGUCAGGAGACCUGCCUAUUUCUGUUAUCGCUG
RNAcentral lists this non-coding RNA (200 nucleotides) under Shewanella putrefaciens. The record is from RNAcentral. Lineage: Bacteria; Pseudomonadati; Pseudomonadota; Gammaproteobacteria; Alteromonadales; Shewanellaceae.